RNAcentral lists this ribosomal RNA (423 nucleotides) under uncultured bacterium. RNAcentral describes it as "bacterial SSU rRNA". It matches the Rfam family "Bacterial small subunit ribosomal RNA", at positions 207 to 622 of the family's 1533-position model. The record is from RNAcentral.
AAGACCUUGCGCUUUUGGAGCGGCCGAUGCCUGAUUAGCUAGUUGGUGGGGUAAUGGCCUACCAAAGCUUCGAUCAGUAGCUGGUCUGAGAGGACGGCCAGCCACACUGGGACCGAGACACGGCCCAGACUCCUACGGGAGGCAGCAGUGGGGAAUUUUGGACAAUGGGCGCAAGCCUGAUCCAGCCAUGCCGCGUGAGUGAAGAAGGCCUUCGGGUUGUAAAGCUCUUUCAGCCGGGAAGAAAAGGUUGCGAUUAAUAAUCGCAAUUUAUGACGGUACCGGAAGAAGAAGCACCGGCUAACUACGUGCCAGCAGCCGCGGUAAUACGUAGGGUGCGAGCGUUAAUCGGAAUUACUGGGCGUAAAGGGUGCGCAGGCGGUUUUGUAAGUCAGAUGUGAAAUCCCCGGGCUUAACCUGGGAACU